GUGGUGUAAAGGAUGUUCCGCCUAUUAAUUUACUUUAUUUAUGUUGGUGUAUAUCUGGUUUAAUAUUAUUGUUUAAUAAUUUAAUUUGUGUAUUGUUAAAUUAAGCCAAGUCUAUGUGCUGCUUAUUAAAGUAUUCAUGCGUUACAUUUAUAAGGUUACAUUUGUAAAAAUGUAAUAUUCAGGACUUAAAAGUAAUAUUAAAUUAAUUUGUGAGUAUGAAAAAAGUUUAGCUCAUGUACACA
RNAcentral lists this ribosomal RNA (242 nucleotides) under Taenia polyacantha. RNAcentral describes it as "partial small subunit ribosomal RNA". The record is from RNAcentral. Lineage: Eukaryota; Metazoa; Platyhelminthes; Cestoda; Cyclophyllidea; Taeniidae.